GAUGAACGCUGGCGGCGUGCUUAACACAUGCAAGUCGAACGAUGAAGCCCAGCUUGCUGGGUGGAUUAGUGGCGAACGGGUGAGUAACACGUGAGUAACCUGCCCUUGACUCUGGGAUAAGCCUGGGAAACUGGGGCUAAUACUGGAUAUGACUUCUCAUCGCAUGGGGGGGGGUGGGAAGAUUUAUUGGUCUUGGAUGGACUCGCGGCCUAUCAGCUUGUUGGUGAGGUAAUGGCUCACCAAGGCGAUGACGGGUAGCCGGCCUGAGAGGGUGACCGGCCACACUGGGACUGAGACACGGCCCAGACUCCUACGGGAGGCAGCAGUGGGGAAUAUUGCACAAUGGGCGCAAGCCUGAUGCAGCGACGCCGCGUGAGGGAUGACGGCCUUCGGGUUGUAAACCUCUUUCAGCAGGGAAGAAGCGAGAGUGACGGUACCUGCAGAAGAAGCGCCGGCUAACUACGUG
RNAcentral lists this ribosomal RNA (466 nucleotides) under uncultured bacterium. RNAcentral's name for it is "partial 16S ribosomal RNA". It matches the Rfam family "Bacterial small subunit ribosomal RNA", at positions 28 to 507 of the family's 1533-position model. The record is from RNAcentral.